ACUCUAAGCGGUGGAUCACUCGGCUCAUGGGUCGAUGAAGAACGCAGCAAACUGUGCGUCAUCGUGUGAACUGCAGGACACAUGAACAUCGACAUUUUGAACGCAUAUCGCAGUCCAUGCUGUUAUGUACUUUAAUUAAUUUUAUAGUGCUGCUUGGACUACAUAUGGUUGAGGGUUGUAAGACUAUGCUAAUUAAGUUGCUUAUAAAUUUUUAUAAGCAUAUGGUAUAUUAUUGGAUAAAUAUAAUAAUUUUUAUUCAUAAUAUUAAAAAAUAAAUGAAAAACAUUAUCUCACAUUUGAAUGUGAAAAACGAAGAGAAAUAUUUUCUUUUUCAAUCAAAUAAUACUGAGAAAUGUCUAGCAUAAAAAAUUGAAAUAUUUUUCAUCUAGAAUUGUCUCUUAUUAAUGAUUCGGAAAUAGAAAAAUCUUGGUUAUGUUAUUAUUCUUCGUUGGUUCGUUAAAAAUGGAUAAAUAAAAACUUUGCAUACAAGAAUUAAUAAAAAUGUUAUAACGAAUUUAAUUAAAUGUUUUAUCAUUAUAUAUAAAGAAUUUAUGGCAAGAUAAAGUUAUAUACAACCUCAACUCAUAUGGGACUACCCCCUGAAUUUAAGCAUAUUAAUUAGGGGAGGAAAAGAAACUAACAAGGAUUUUCUUAGUAGCGGCGAGCGAAAAGAAAACAGUUCAGCACUAAGUCACUUUGUCUAUAUGGCAAAUGUGAGAUGCAGUGUAUGGAGCGUCAAUAUUCUAGUAUGAGAAAUUAACGAUUUAAGUCCUUCUUAAAUGAGGCCAUUUACCCAUAGAGGGUGCCAGGCCCGUAUAACGUUAAUGAUUACUAGAUGAUGUUUCCAAAGAGUCGUGUUGCUUGAUAGUGCAGCACUAAGUGGGUGGUAAACUCCAUCUAAAACUAAAUAUAACCAUGAGACCGAUAGUAAACAAGUACCGUGAGGGAAAGUUGAAAAGAACUCUGAAUAGAGAGUUAAACAGUACGUGAAACUGCUUAGAGGUUAAGCCCGAUGAACCUGAAUAUCCGUUAUGGAAAAUUCAUCAUUAAAAUUGUAAUAUUUAAAUAAUAUUAUGAGAAUAGUGUGCAUUUUUUCCAUAUAAGGACAUUGUAAUCUAUUAGCAUAUACCAAAUUUAUCAUAAAAUAUAACUUAUAGUUUAUUCCAAUUAAAUUGCUUGCAUUUUAACACAGAAUAAAUGUUAUUAAUUUGAUAAAGUGCUGAUAGAUUUAUAUGAUUACAGUGCGUUAAUUUUUCGGAAUUAUAUAAUGGCAUAAUUAUCAUUGAUUUUUGUGUUUAUUAUAUGCACUUGUAUGAUUAACAAUGCGAAAGAUUCAGGAUACCUUCGGGACCCGUCUUGAAACACGGACCAAGGAGUCUAACAUAUGUGCAAGUUAUUGGGAUAUAAACCUAAUAGCGUAAUUAACUUGACUAAUAAUGGGAUUAGUUUUUUAGCUAUUUAUAGCUAAUUAACACAAUCCCGGGGCGUUCUAUAUAGUUAUGUAUAAUGUAUAUUUAUAUUAUUUAUGCCUCUAACUGGAACGUACCUUGAGCAUAUAUGCUGUGACCCGAAAGAUGGUGAACUAUACUUGAUCAGGUUGAAGUCAGGGGAAACCCUGAUGGAAGACCGAAACAGUUCUGACGUGCAAAUCGAUUGUCAGAAUUGAGUAUAGGGGCGAAAGACCAAUCGAACCAUCUAGUAGCUGGUUCCUUCCGAAGUUUCCCUCAGGAUAGCUGGUGCAUUUUAAUAUUAUAUAAAAUAAUCUUAUCUGGUAAAGCGAAUGAUUAGAGGCCUUAGGGUCGAAACGAUCUUAACCUAUUCUCAAACUUUAAAUGGGUAAGAACCUUAACUUUCUUGAUAUGAAGUUCAAGGUUAUGAUAUAAUGUGCCCAGUGGGCCACUUUUGGUAAGCAGAACUGGCGCUGUGGGAUGAACCAAACGUAAUGUUACGGUGCCCAAAUUAACAACUCAUGCAGAUACCAUGAAAGGCGUUGGUUGCUUAAAACAGCAGGACGGUGAUCAUGGAAGUCGAAAUCCGCUAAGGAGUGUGUAACAACUCACCUGCCGAAGCAACUAGCCCUUAAAAUGGAUGGCGCUUAAGUUGUAUACCUAUACAUUACCGCUAAAGUAGAUGAUUUAUAUUACUUGUGAUAUAAAUUUUGAAACUUUAGUGAGUAGGAAGGUACAAUGGUAUGCGUAGAAGUGUUUGGCGUAAGCCUGCAUGGAGCUGCCAUUGGUACAGAUCUUGGUGGUAGUAGCAAAUAAUCGAAUGAGACCUUGGAGGACUGAAGUGGAGAAGGGUUUCGUGUGAACAGUGGUUGAUCACGAGUUAGUCGGUCCUAAGUUCAAGGCGAAAGCCGAAAAUUUUCAAGUAAAACAAAAAUGCCUAACUAUAUAAACAAAGCGAAUUAUAAUACACUUGAAUAAUUUUGAACGAAAGGGAAUACGGUUCCAAUUCCGUAACCUGUUGAGUAUCCGUUUGUUAUUAAAUAUGGGCCUCGUGCUCAUCCUGGCAACAGGAACGACCAUAAAGAAGCCGUCGAGAGAUAUCGGAAGAGUUUUCUUUUCUGUUUUAUAGCCGUACUACCAUGGAAGUCUUUCGCAGAGAGAUAUGGUAGAUGGGCUAGAAGAGCAUGACAUAUACUGUUGUGUCGAUAUUUUCUCCUCGGACCUUGAAAAUUUAUGGUGGGGACACGCAAACUUCUCAACAGGCCGUACCAAUAUCCGCAGCUGGUCUCCAAGGUGAAGAGUCUCUAGUCGAUAGAAUAAUGUAGGUAAGGGAAGUCGGCAAAUUAGAUCCGUAACUUCGGGAUAAGGAUUGGCUCUGAAGAUUGAGAUAGUCGGGCUUGAUUGGGAAACAAUAACAUGGUUUAUGUGCUCGUUCUGGGUAAAUAGAGUUUCUAGCAUUUAUGUUAGUUACUUGUUCCGGAUAGUUUAGUUACGUAGCCAAUUGUGGAACUUUCUUGCUAAAAUUUUAAGAAUACUAUUUGGGUUAAACCAAUUAGUUCUUAUUAAUUAUAACGAUUAUCAAUUAACAUCAAUUCAGAACUGGCACGGACUUGGGGAAUCCGACUGUCUAAUUAAAACAAAGCAUUGUGAUGGCCCUAGCGGUGUUGACACAUGUGAUUUCUGCCAGUGUCUGAAUGUCAAAGUGAAGAAAUUAAGUAAGCGCGGGUCAACGGCGGGAGUAACUAUGACUC
Molecule: ribosomal RNA, 3199 nt
Filed under: Drosophila melanogaster (fruit fly)
Lineage: Eukaryota; Metazoa; Arthropoda; Insecta; Diptera; Drosophilidae
Description: eukaryotic LSU rRNA
Rfam family: Eukaryotic large subunit ribosomal RNA (bases 573-3199)
Source: RNAcentral